UACAGAGGGGGCAAGCGUUGUUCAGAAUUACUGGGCGUAAAGGGCGCGUAGGCGGCCUUCUAAGUCGAACGUGAAAUCCCUGGGCUCAACCCAGGAACUGCGUCCGAUACUGGAAGGCUUGAAUCCGGGAGAGGGAUGCGGAAUUCCAGGUGUAGCGGUGAAAUGCGUAGAUAUCUGGAGGAACACCGGUGGCGAGGGCGGCAUCCUGGACCGGCAUUGACGCUGAGGCGCGAAAGCCAGGGGAGCAAACGGG
RNAcentral lists this ribosomal RNA (253 nucleotides) under uncultured bacterium. RNAcentral describes it as "partial 16S ribosomal RNA". It matches the Rfam family "Bacterial small subunit ribosomal RNA", at positions 524 to 776 of the family's 1533-position model. The record is from RNAcentral.